This is a non-coding RNA of Aegilops tauschii subsp. strangulata, 1574 nucleotides long. NCBI's taxonomy places the organism in Eukaryota, Viridiplantae, Streptophyta, Magnoliopsida, Poales, Poaceae. The record is from RefSeq and is a predicted model, not a curated record.
CAACUCCUCGGCGCCCCCACCCACCAGGCACCAGCCCCCGGAACCGCCGCCGCCGUCACCUAUAACCUCGCGCGCGCACCCUGUGGGCCAGGAUCUGUCCGCCAUCCACCCAUCGCCUCCGCCCGCUGCUCCCCGUCGAUCUCCGCGCGCUGCCACCCCACCUUCCCGGCCAUCCCCUCCGUGCGCCGCCGCCCCACCUCACUUUCCCCGCGCAACGCCGCUGCCCUCCCUACCUUCCCCGUGUAAUUCUGCUGCCCUACCCGGCCCCAACCGGCGCUACAACCCCGGCGCCGCCCGGCCCCCACAUGCCCCAACCGGCGAGGCCGUCGUCGCCUUGCCCCUCCCAAACCUUGCGCAUCGCCAACGGCCGCACCACAUCGCCGAUGCCGGAGGACAUCAUACGCCUUCACCUCCUCCGUCGACGGAUGCCACCGACCACCGGCUCUCGCAGCGCCUCACUCUUGCGGCAUGUCUCCAGGAGGGGUCAUCGGAGUCCUUAAUCGCUUGCACUACUUGCUUUUAGCAUCUUGUCCAUGGAGUCAAGGCGCUGUGUGGUGUGCGAUCUCGUUUUUGGAUGGGGCAUAGAAAUCUCGCCUUUUGCUCCUGUAGGAGAAAUCUCGCUUCCCUGCUGCUGUUAUGACCAUGUAUUGUUUCAAAAUGACCUUUUGUCUGAAGUUCGGUAGUAUCUGUUGGUGCAAAAAAGGUGCUUCAGUUUCAUGGGUCCUUCAAAAAAUGAAUGGGAAAAAGGAGUUUUCUUCUCCAAAAUGCAUCACUGCUCUGAAGUGCUAAUUCUUCUUGUGUGCUUCUAUCGAGGCUUGUGUUUCAUGGAGACAGAGACAUAGAAAUUGUGGAAAUCAUUAAUGUUUCCUUUCUGUCUAUGUACUUAAGAAACAUUUUGUGUGAGAAAAAAAGGUUAAUGACACAUUCUUUUGAGAGAUACACAGUGCUUUGGGAUCCAAUGUUUUUCUACACAAAAUUGUGCAUUUGUGUCUCGCCAAUGUAGCUGGCAACACAUACUUUGUACAAUAAAAACAUUAGUUUCAUGUGAGAAGUUCAAAUAUAAAAUAAGGACAAGUUCACGUAUAGUAAAAUUAGUGCAAAUAAAAAAAUGUAGUGAGCCAUGUGUUGUUGAUAUUUUUUAAACAAAAAUUAAAAUUAAAAUAACGAAGGUGUUUAAUGUUCUACUUGUGGCAUAUUAUUUGUUAUAACUGCGUCUGCUCUGCUUGUUUCUUCCCAGCAUCUCCUUGGUUGUUGUAAUGUUGCUUCGUUUUGGUUGUAAAAUAUAUGCGGUCUAUUGUUUGUUAUAUGUUUGAAAGAUAGUGCAAAUCCGGGUGGGGGUGUUCCUCACAUAUGUAUGUUCUCGACAUAGUUGAAGCUUCAUAGAAUUUUUUCCUUUUCAAAUGUCAGAAGUUCACUUGUGCAAAAAAGGUUCCUUAACCUCAUUUACAGGAGAAAGUACACAUAAAUCCUGAGGUUAAAUUUUUUAAACUACAAUUGUUUGUGUUCUAAAGAACAAGUGCACGCAAGUUCAGAAUUGGUAAAAAUAGAAUAAACAUCAACACUAAGGAAACCUU